This 253-nucleotide ribosomal RNA is filed under the name uncultured bacterium. Its description in RNAcentral is "partial 16S ribosomal RNA". It matches the Rfam family "Bacterial small subunit ribosomal RNA", at positions 524 to 776 of the family's 1533-position model. The record is from RNAcentral.
UACGAAGGGGGCUAGCGUUGCUCGGAAUCACUGGGCGUAAAGGGUGCGUAGGCGGGUCUUUAAGUCAGGGGUGAAAUCCUGGAGCUCAACUCCAGAACUGCCUUUGAUACUGAAGAUCUUGAGUUCGGGAGAGGUGAGUGGAACUGCGAGUGUAGAGGUGAAAUUCGUAGAUAUUCGCAAGAACACCAGUGGCGAAGGCGGCUCACUGGACCGGCAUUGACGCUGAGGUGCGAAAGCGUGGGGAGCAAACAGG